This 798-nucleotide ribosomal RNA is filed under the name uncultured bacterium. RNAcentral describes it as "bacterial SSU rRNA". It matches the Rfam family "Bacterial small subunit ribosomal RNA", at positions 67 to 853 of the family's 1533-position model. The record is from RNAcentral.
CUGAUUUGAUUUUUUGAUUUCAAGGAGUGGCGAACGGGUGAGUAACACGUGGGUAACCUACCUCUUAGCAGGGGAUAACAUUUGGAAACAAGUGCUAAUACCGUAUAAUACCAACAACCGCAUGGUUGUUGGUUGAAAGAUGGUUCUGCUAUCACUAAGAGAUGGACCCGCGGUGCAUUAGCUAGUUGGUAAGGUAAUGGCUUACCAAGGCAAUGAUGCAUAGCCGAGUUGAGAGACUGAUCGGCCACAAUGGGACUGAGACACGGCCCAUACUCCUACGGGAGGCAGCAGUAGGGAAUCUUCCACAAUGGGCGCAAGCCUGAUGGAGCAACGCCGCGUGUGUGAUGAAGGGUUUCGGCUCGUAAAACACUGUUAUAAGAGAAGAACGGCACUGAGAGUAACUGUUCAGUGUGUGACGGUAUCCUACCAGAAAGGAACGGCUAAAUACGUGCCAGCAGCCGCGGUAAUACGUAUGUUCCAAGCGUUAUCCGGAUUUAUUGGGCGUAAAGCGAGCGCAGACGGUUAUUUAAGUCUGAAGUGAAAGCCCUCAGCUCAACUGAGGAAUUGCUUUGGAAACUGGAUGACUUGAGUGCAGUAGAGGAAAGUGGAACUCCAUGUGUAGCGGUGAAAUGCGUAGAUAUAUGGAAGAACACCAGUGGCGAAGGCGGCUUUCUGGACUGUAACUGACGUUGAGGCUCGAAAGUGUGGGUAGCAAACAGGAUUAGAUACCCUGGUAGUCCACACCGUAAACGAUGAGUGCUAGAUGUUCGAGGGUUUCCGCCCUUGAGUGUCGCAGCU